CCUUUGGAGUGUUAUAUCAAACAAGAUUAGUCAAGUUAGAUUGAUGAUGAAAUUGGACACGAUGAAUAAGGAA
This 73-nucleotide non-coding RNA is filed under the name unclassified sequences. RNAcentral's name for it is "RAGATH-18 RNA". It matches the Rfam family "RAGATH-18 RNA". Rfam says of the family: Actinobacteria, Firmicutes, Fusobacteria, Thermotogae (1 example). The record is from Rfam by way of RNAcentral.